This 221-nucleotide ribosomal RNA is filed under the name uncultured bacterium. RNAcentral's name for it is "partial 16S ribosomal RNA". It matches the Rfam family "Bacterial small subunit ribosomal RNA", at positions 524 to 741 of the family's 1533-position model. The record is from RNAcentral.
GACGUAGGGGGGCAAGCGUUGUUCGGAAUUAUUGGGCGUAAAGCGCUCGUAGGCGGGACAGGAAGUUCGUGUUGAAAGACCUCGGCUCAACUGAGGGACCGGCUCGAAUACUCUUGUUCUUGAGGCAAUCAGAGGGUGAUGGAAUUCCCCGGUGUAGCGGUGAAAUGCGUAGAUAUCGGGAGGAACACCAGUGGCGAAGGGCGAUCACCUGGGGUUGUUCG